AACGAACGCUGGCGGCAUGCCUAACACAUGCAAGUCGAACGAGACCUUCGGGUCUAGUGGCGCACGGGUGCGUAACGCGUGGGAACCUGCCCUUAGGUUCGGAAUAACUCCCCGAAAGGGGUGCUAAUACCGGAUAAUGUCUUCGGACCAAAGAUUUAUCGCCUUUGGAUGGGCCCGCGUUGGAUUAGCUAGUUGGUAGGGUAAAAGCCUACCAAGGCGACGAUCCAUAGCUGGUCUGAGAGGAUGAUCAGCCACACUGGGACUGAGGCACGGCCCAGACUCCUACGGGAGGCAGCAGUGGGGAAUAUUGGACAAUGGGCGAAAGCCUGAUCCAGCAAUGCCGCGUGAGUGAUGAAGGCCUUAGGGCUGUAAAGCUCUUUUACCCGGGAUGAUAAUGACAGUACCGGGAGAAUAAGCGCCGGCUAACUCCGUG
RNAcentral lists this ribosomal RNA (433 nucleotides) under uncultured bacterium. RNAcentral's name for it is "partial 16S ribosomal RNA". It matches the Rfam family "Bacterial small subunit ribosomal RNA", at positions 29 to 507 of the family's 1533-position model. The record is from RNAcentral.